CCUACGGGAGGCAGCAGUGAGGAAUAUUGGUCAAUGGGCGCUAGCCUGAACCAGCCAAGUAGCGUGAAGGAUGACUGCCCUAUGGGUUGUAAACUUCUUUUAUAUGGGAAUAAAGUGCAGCAUGUAUACUGCUUUGCAUGUACCUUAUGAAUAAGGAUCGGCUAACUCCGUGCCAGCAGCCGCGGUAAUACGGAGGAUUCGAGCGUUAUCCGGAUUUAUUGGGUUUAAAGGGAGCGUAGACGGGUUGUUAAGUCAGUUGUGAAAGUUUGCGGCUCAACCGUAAAAUUGCAGUUGAUACUGGCAGCCUUGAGUACAGUAGAGGUAGGCGGAAUUCGUGGUGUAGCGGUGAAAUGCUUAGAUAUCACGAAGAACUCCGAUUGCGAAGGCAGCCUGCUGGACUGUAACUGACGCUGAUGCUCGAAAGUGUGGGUAUCAAACAGGAUUAGAUACCCUGGUAGUC
Molecule: ribosomal RNA, 460 nt
Filed under: uncultured bacterium
Lineage: Bacteria
Description: partial 16S ribosomal RNA
Rfam family: Bacterial small subunit ribosomal RNA
Source: RNAcentral